AAUUAUUUAAUGGCCGCAGUAUUUUAACUGUGCAAAGGUAGCAUAAUAAUUAGUUUUUUAAUUGAAAGCUUGUAUGAAUGAUUGGACGAGAUAUAAACUGUCUCAUAAAAAUUUUUUUAGAACUUAAUUUUUUAGUAAAAAAGCUAAAAUAAAUUUAAAAGACGAGAAGACCCCAUAGAUCUUUAUAUUUUUUUUAUAAUAAUUUUUUAGAUUUUUUUAUAAAUUAAUAAAUAAAAAUAUUUUGUUGGGGUGACAUUAAAAUUUAAUAAACUUUUAAAAUUUGAAGACAUUAAUUUAUGAAUUUAUGAUCCUUUAUUAUUGAUUAAAAAUUUAAGUUACCUUGGGGAUAACAGCGUAAUUAUUUUGGAGAGUUCAUAUCGAUAAAAUAGAUUGCGACCUCGAUGUUGGAUUAAGAUUAAUUUUGGAUGUAGA
Molecule: ribosomal RNA, 432 nt
Filed under: Campsicnemus kariae
Lineage: Eukaryota; Metazoa; Arthropoda; Insecta; Diptera; Dolichopodidae
Description: partial 16S ribosomal RNA
Source: RNAcentral